Molecule: ribosomal RNA, 446 nt
Filed under: uncultured bacterium
Lineage: Bacteria
Description: bacterial SSU rRNA
Rfam family: Bacterial small subunit ribosomal RNA
Source: RNAcentral
AACGAACGCUGGCGGCGCGCUUAAUACAUGCAAGUCGAACGAGAAGGUGUAGCAAUACACUUGUAAAGUGGCGAACGGGUGAGGAAUACAUGGGUAACCUACCCUCGAGUGGGGAACAACCAGCCGAAAGGUUGGCUAAUACCGCGUACGCUUCCGGGUCUUCGGAUUCGGAAGGAAAGUCAUACCGUGGGUAUGACGCUCAAGGAUGGGCUCAUGUCCUAUCAGCUUGUUGGUAGGGUAACGGCCACCAAGGCUCCGACGGGUAGCUGGUCUGAGAGGACGAUCAGCCACACUGGCACUGCGACACGGGCCAGACUCCACGGGAGGCAGCAGUAAGGAAUAUUGCGCAAUGGGCGAAAGCCUGACGCAGCGACGCCGCGUGGGGAUGAAGGUCUUCGGAUUGUAAACCCCUUUCGGGAGGGAAGAUGGAACGAGCAAUCGUUCGG